RNAcentral lists this ribosomal RNA (465 nucleotides) under Vreelandella stevensii. RNAcentral's name for it is "partial 16S ribosomal RNA". It matches the Rfam family "Bacterial small subunit ribosomal RNA", at positions 338 to 795 of the family's 1533-position model. Lineage: Bacteria; Pseudomonadati; Pseudomonadota; Gammaproteobacteria; Oceanospirillales; Halomonadaceae. The record is from RNAcentral.
CCUACGGGGGGCUGCAGUGGGGAAUAUUGGACAAUGGGGGGAACCCUGAUCCAGCCAUGCCGCGUGUGUGAAGAAGGCCCUCGGGUUGUAAAGCACUUUCAGUGAGGAAGAACGCCUGGUGGUUAAUACCCAUCAGGAAAGACAUCACUCACAGAAGAAGCACCGGCUAACUCCGUGCCAGCAGCCGCGGUAAUACGGAGGGUGCGAGCGUUAAUCGGAAUUACUGGGCGUAAAGCGCGCGUAGGUGGCUUGAUAAGCCGGUUGUGAAAGCCCCGGGCUCAACCUGGGAACGGCAUCCGGAACUGUCAAGCUAGAGUGCAGGAGAGGAAGGUAGAAGUCCCGGUGUAGCGGUGAAAUGCGUAGAGAUCGGGAGGAAUACCAGUGGCGAAGGCGGCCUUCUGGACUGACACUGACACUGUGGUGCGAAAGCGUGGGUAGCAAACAGGAUUAGAUACCCGGGUAGUC